UGUGAUCACAGGCAACUCAGGAACAGCUCUCCAGCCCCAGGACUUCUGCUGGAACCGCUGGGAGUUGGAAGCUUUCUUCCCACUGAGGGGCAAACCUUCUAGGUAUCUGAAGAUGUUGAAGACCAUUUCCUGGAACAGCAGAGGUAAAUGCCCAGAGGAUGAGAACACAUAGCCAUUAGGAGAGCCUGAAAGUUCAGUGUGACUGAAAGAUGAAGUUCAAGAGAAGGGACAAACUGCAAAACACAAGCUGGAGAGUUUUAGAGAGACUGUGGAAUGGAAUGACUCUCCAGAGCUGCAGAUUGAAGGCAUAUUUUCAUCUGACUUUGGUGAUUAUGUUUCCAAUCUCUCUGGGAAUAAGAUCUCAAUGGCGGGAACACCUUCAUGGCCCCUUUAUAGCUGGAUGAUCAUUUCCUGUUCUCUCCACCAUGGCCACCUGGUCCAAGCCACCAUCUUCAUGCACCUGGAUACCUGCCAUAACCUCAGCUGACCUUUCCUGUGUCCAUUCUUGUUCCUUUGGGCCCAGUCUCCUCG
RNAcentral lists this long non-coding RNA (531 nucleotides) under Homo sapiens (human). RNAcentral's name for it is "non-protein coding LINC00944:19". Lineage: Eukaryota; Metazoa; Chordata; Mammalia; Primates; Hominidae. The record is from RNAcentral.